UACAGAGGGUGCAAGCGUUGUUCGGAAUUAUUGGGCGUAAAGCGCGCGUAGGCGGCUCUGCAAGUCGGGUGUGAAAUCCCUCAGCUUAACUGAGGAAGUGCGCUCGAAACUGCAGAGCUUGAGUACCAAAGAGGAUGGCGGAAUUCCCCAAGUAGAGGUGAAAUUCGUAGAUAUGGGGAGGAACACCGGUGGCGAAGGCGGCCAUCUGGGUGGUCACUGACGCUGAGGCGCGAAAGCGUGGGUAUCAAACAGG
RNAcentral lists this ribosomal RNA (253 nucleotides) under uncultured bacterium. RNAcentral describes it as "partial 16S ribosomal RNA". It matches the Rfam family "Bacterial small subunit ribosomal RNA", at positions 524 to 776 of the family's 1533-position model. The record is from RNAcentral.